UACCUAAACAAAUUUAAAAAGUUAAGCUUUUAAAUAACUAUUAAAGAUAUUAUCCCCUUGUAGUGUAGUUUAAUAGCUAUCUACAUAUUAACUUAAUAUAAAGUAUAAUAGUUUAUAUUUUAUAAUAUGACGUUAACAAUUUUGUUUAAUAUUUGAAAAUGUUAGUAUUAGUAAUAUUAGUAUAUGUGCUAAAGGAACUCGGCAAAAAACCACUCAACUGUUUAUCAAAAACAUAGCUAUAUGAGUUAAUAUAUAGUUAUUUCUGCUCAAUGAUUUAAAUAGCCGCAGUACUCUGACUGUGCAAAGGUAGCAUAAUCAGUUGGCUUUUAAUUAGAGUCUGGUAUGAACGAAAAUAUGGGUAGUAACUGUCUUAGCACAUUUUUUCGAACUUAUUAAACAAGUGCAAAUGCUUGUAAUUUAACAAUAGACGAGAAGACCCUAGAAACUUGGACAAGUUUUUGUUGGGGCGACAGAAUUACACUUAACUAAUCUUAUAAUACACGACGCGAUGUUGAAAGAAUAAGUUACUCUAGGGAUAACAGCAUAAUUUCAUUAGUUUGUGACCUCGAUGUUGGACUAGGUACUAUACCCUUAAGGCAAGGAUAUAUUAUGCUCUGUUCGAGCAAAAUUACCUACAUGAUCUGAGUUC
RNAcentral lists this ribosomal RNA (649 nucleotides) under Helix pomatia (Roman snail). RNAcentral's name for it is "partial 16S ribosomal RNA". The record is from RNAcentral. Lineage: Eukaryota; Metazoa; Mollusca; Gastropoda; Stylommatophora; Helicidae.